RNAcentral lists this long non-coding RNA (849 nucleotides) under Numida meleagris (helmeted guineafowl). RNAcentral's name for it is "lncRNA (ENSNMEG00000010069.1)". Lineage: Eukaryota; Metazoa; Chordata; Aves; Galliformes; Numididae. The record is from RNAcentral.
UCUAAAUAAAUUCUUUUCUUUGCAGGGCAGAAUCAGAGAAUCACAGAAUGGUUUGGGUUGGAAGAGACACUAAAGCCUACCCAGUGCCAACACCUUGCCGUGGGCAGGGCUGCCACCCACUGGGUCAGACUGCCCAGGGCCCCAUCCAACCUGGCCUUGAGGGCCUCCAGGCCUGAGGCACCCACAGCUUCUCUGGGCAGCCUGUGCCAAGGCCUCGCUGCCUUCUAAAUCUGUAUCAGAAUCUAUAUGCAUUCUUUAGACUUAUUUUUCUACCUGUUAACCAUGCAAUUCUUCUAUCUCAUUCUGUGUUAAUUGGCAGUAACAUCUACAGUCAUCUGAAACUUUUGAAAACAGACUAUUUCUCACAAGAAAUCAAAGUCUUCUUACUUCAUGUGGAAAAUCUUCUUACUUCAUGUGAAUACAGAUCAGUCAUGAUGGCAUUUCCUGGCUCAGAGAGGACCCUAGAACACUGCAGGAUAAGUGCUGUUUCCUGCACUGGCACACCCAACACUUUCUGCCAUGCCCCCAAGCCCAAGCAGGAUUUGUCUUUCAGUUCUCUGAAAGGGAUCUCAAUGAAGCAAUUAAUAUCAAACUGAAUGACUGACCGACCAUCUGCCAAUUCCAGCACAUUCAAUACAAAUGAUGCUUUAUUCAAAUGCAGAGUCAAAGUACAGAGUCUGCCAUCAGAAGAACUGAUUUAGUUCAGAUGGGAAGGCAAGAAUUAUAUGUAAUUAUACAUGCAGUGAAACCUGCUCGCAUAAGACUUUGAUGCAGUAAAGUCUUUUUCUGCUGCACUAAAGGAGAAAAGAUAACAGAAAUCUUUCAAUAAAUUGCACUGUGUAAGAUUCA